Molecule: ribosomal RNA, 425 nt
Filed under: uncultured bacterium
Lineage: Bacteria
Description: partial 16S ribosomal RNA
Rfam family: Bacterial small subunit ribosomal RNA
Source: RNAcentral
GUGGGGAAUAUUGGACAAUGGGCGCAAGCCUGAUCCAGCCAUGCCGCGUGAGUGAUGAAGGCCUUAGGGUUGUAAAGCUCUUUCACCGGUGAAGAUAAUGACGGUAACCGGAGAAGAAGCCCCGGCUAACUUCGUGCCAGCAGCCGCGGUAAUACGAAGGGGGCUAGCGUUGUUCGGAAUUACUGGGCGUAAAGCGCACGUAGGCGGUUUGUUAAGUCAGGGGUGAAAUCCCGGAGCUCAACUCCGGAACUGCCUUUGAUACUGGCAAGCUAGAGUCCGGAAGAGGUAAGUGGAACUCCUAGUGUAGAGGUGGAAUUCGUAGAUAUUAGGAAGAACACCAGUGGCGAAGGCGGCUUACUGGUCCGGAACUGACGCUGAGGUGCGAAAGCGUGGGGAGCAAACAGGAUUAGAAACCCUGGUAGUCC